AUGAACACAUCCACUUUGGACAUGAGUUCUUCGUCAUCUUCAUCUGGCGACGAUGAACUCAUACUUGCAGCAUUCGCCGAGCGCGAGGAGGAAGAGAGGAUGAACGCUCGAUGCCAUGGCGGUUCCAAGCAUGGACGUCAAACAAUCAAUCGAGGAAGAGAUGCCGGAUUUGUUCUUCUGUGGGACGACUACUUCAAAGAAGUUCCUCGCUAUCCCGAACAUUUGUUUCGACGAAGAUUUAGGAUGUCCCGUAAUUUGUUCAAACGCAUAGCCGAUGGUAUACUUGAGCAUGAUUAUGAUGGUUAUUUUACUCAAAAAAGAAGUGCUUCUGGAGCUCUUGGGUUACAUCCUCUGCAAAAGAUGACCGCGGCAAUGCGGAUGCUAACAUAUGGAAUAGCAGCUGAUGGUGCUGAUGAGUACAUCCGGUCCGCUGAGGCUACUAAUUUAGAGUCUUGCAAGAAAUUUGUGAUCAAAGUUUGUGAAGUUUUUGGGGAAAGGUACCUGAGAUCUCCAAAUGAAGAAGACAUUGCUAGGUUACUUGCAAUAGGGGAGGAAAGAGGAUUUCCUGGUAUGUUAGGGAGCAUAGAUUGCAUGCACUGGGGUUGGAAAAAUUGCCCCCAAAAAUGGCAUGGCAUGUUUAAAGGCCAUGUCAGCGAGCCCACUAUGAUCUUGGAAGCAGUUGCUUCACAAGAUCUUUGGAUUUGGCAUGCUUAUUUUGGUUUACCAGGGUCUCUGAAUGAUAUAAAUGUUCUUCAACGUUCUCCUGUUUUUACAAAGCUAGCUGAAGGCCAAACUCCUCCAGUGAAUUAUAGAAUCAAUGGCCAUCAGUACACAAUGGGGUAUUAUCUUGCAGAUGGUAUCUAUCCACGGUGGGCAACAUUUGUGAAGAGCAUACCAGCUCCAGAUACCCGAAAACAUAAAACUUUUGCCAAGAGGCAAGAGGGGGCUAGGAAAGAUGUGGAACGAGCCUUUGGAGUUCUUCAAUCCCGUUUUGCCAUUGUUCGUGGACCUGCUAAAGGAUGGAAACGUAAAGAAAUCGGUGAUGUCAUGAAAGCUUGUGUCAUAAUGCACAAUAUGAUAGUUGAAGAGGAGCGACAAACUGGUCGGCAAAGCUGCACUUUUGAGGCAAUGUGA
Molecule: ribosomal RNA, 1134 nt
Filed under: Triticum aestivum (bread wheat)
Lineage: Eukaryota; Viridiplantae; Streptophyta; Magnoliopsida; Poales; Poaceae
Description: partial small subunit ribosomal RNA
Source: RNAcentral